UGUGGUCAUAAACAUUGUGUUUAAAUUUCAUAGAUUUCCAUUUACUUAACCUAAGGUUAUUGUGCAAAAACCAAGAAAAAUGCUUAUUUGGGCCCUUUAUUGGCCCCUUAUUCCUAAACUAUUGAAACCAAAACUCCCAAAAUCAAUCCCAAUCUUUCUUUUGUGGUCAUAAACCUUGCGUCAAAAUUUCAUAGAUUUCUAUUAACUUAAACUAAAGUUAUGGUGCGAAAACCAAGAAAAUGCUUAUUUGGGCCCUUUUUGGCCCCUUAUUCCUAAAAUGUUGGGACCAAAACUCCCAAAAUCAAUACCAACCUUCCUUUUAUGGUCAUAAACCUUGUGUUAAAAUUUCAUAGAUUUCUAUUCACUUUUACUAAAGUUAGAGUGCGAAAACUAAAAGUAUUCGGACGACGACGACGACGACGACGACGACGACGACGCAGACGCCAACGUGAUAGCAAUAUACGACGAAAAUUUUUUCAAAAUUUGCGGUCGUAUAAAAACUAU
Molecule: long non-coding RNA, 504 nt
Filed under: Mytilus galloprovincialis (Mediterranean mussel)
Lineage: Eukaryota; Metazoa; Mollusca; Bivalvia; Mytilida; Mytilidae
Source: RNAcentral